RNAcentral lists this ribosomal RNA (252 nucleotides) under uncultured bacterium. RNAcentral's name for it is "partial 16S ribosomal RNA". It matches the Rfam family "Bacterial small subunit ribosomal RNA", at positions 15 to 263 of the family's 1533-position model. The record is from RNAcentral.
GAUCCUGGCUCAGGAUGAACGCUAGCUACAGGCUUAACACAUGCAAGUCGAGGGGCAUCAGGGUGUAGCAAUACACCGCUGGCGACCGGCGCACGGGUGAGUAACACGUAUCCAACCUGCCCUUUACUCGGGGAUAGCCUUUCGAAAGAAAGAUUAAUACCCGAUGGCAUAACAUGACCUCCUGUUUUUGUUAUUAAAGAAUUUCUGUAGAGGAUGGGGAUGCGUUCCAUUAGGCAGUUGGCGGGGUAACGG